GCCGGCGUGGCGGAACGGCAGACGCAGGAGACUUAAAAUCUCCCGGGGGGGAACCCCCGUGUGGGUUCGACUCCCACCGCCGGCA
Molecule: transfer RNA, 85 nt
Filed under: Tautonia sociabilis
Lineage: Bacteria; Pseudomonadati; Planctomycetota; Planctomycetia; Isosphaerales; Isosphaeraceae
Rfam family: tRNA
About the family: Transfer RNA (tRNA) molecules are approximately 80 nucleotides in length. Their secondary structure includes four short double-helical elements and three loops (D, anti-codon, and T loops).
Source: Rfam by way of RNAcentral